UACACUCCUACGGGAGGCAGCAGUGGGGAAUUUUGGACAAUGGGCGAAAGCCUGAUCCAGCAAUGCCGCGUGCAGGAUGAAGGCCUUCGGGUUGUAAACUGCUUUUGUACGGAACGAAAAAGCUCCUUCUAAUACAGGGGGCCCAUGACGGUACCGUAAGAAUAAGCACCGGCUAACUACGUGCCAGCAGCCGCGGUAAUACGUAGGGUGCGAGCGUUAAUCGGAAUUACUGGGCGUAAAGCGUGCGCAGGCGGUUAUGUAAGACAGAUGUGAAAUCCCCGGGCUCAACCUGGGAACUGCAUUUGUGACUGCAUGGCUAGAGUACGGUAGAGGGGGAUGGAAUUCCGCGUGUAGCAGUGAAAUGCGUAGAUAUGCGGAGGAACACCGAUGGCGAAGGCAAUCCCCUGGACCUGUACUGACGCUCAUGCACGAAAGCGUGGGGAGCAAACAGGAUUAGAAACCCGGGUAGUCCCA
Molecule: ribosomal RNA, 474 nt
Filed under: uncultured organism
Description: partial 16S ribosomal RNA
Rfam family: Bacterial small subunit ribosomal RNA
Source: RNAcentral